GAGGGUAUAGCUCAGUGGUAGAGCGCAUGCUUAGCAUCACGAAGUCCUGGGUUCAAUCCCCAGUACCUCCA
Molecule: transfer RNA, 71 nt
Filed under: Camelus bactrianus (Bactrian camel)
Lineage: Eukaryota; Metazoa; Chordata; Mammalia; Artiodactyla; Camelidae
Also listed under: 2 other names
Rfam family: tRNA
About the family: Transfer RNA (tRNA) molecules are approximately 80 nucleotides in length. Their secondary structure includes four short double-helical elements and three loops (D, anti-codon, and T loops).
Source: Rfam by way of RNAcentral